Salinisphaera hydrothermalis C41B8 is the source of this 74-nucleotide transfer RNA. It matches the Rfam family "tRNA". From Rfam's summary of the family: Transfer RNA (tRNA) molecules are approximately 80 nucleotides in length. Their secondary structure includes four short double-helical elements and three loops (D, anti-codon, and T loops). NCBI's taxonomy places the organism in Bacteria, Pseudomonadati, Pseudomonadota, Gammaproteobacteria, Salinisphaerales, Salinisphaeraceae. The record is from Rfam.
GCGCCCGUAGCUCAGCUGGAUAGAGUGUCGGCCUCCGAAGCCGAAGGUCGCAGGUUCGAAUCCUGCCGGGCGCA